Molecule: ribosomal RNA, 482 nt
Filed under: uncultured bacterium
Lineage: Bacteria
Description: partial 16S ribosomal RNA
Rfam family: Bacterial small subunit ribosomal RNA
Source: RNAcentral
GAUGAACGCUGGCGGCGUGCCUAACACAUGCAAGUCGAACGAAGCUUGACGGAUGAUUUCUUCGGAAUGAAACCAGAUAUGACUUAGUGGCGGACGGGUGAGUAACACGUGAGCAACCUGCCUUUCAGAGGGGGAUAACGGCUGGAAACGGUCGCUAAUACCGCAUGAUGUGUUCGGAUGGCAUCAUCUGAACAUCAAAGAUUUAUCGCUGAAAGAUGGGCUCGCGUCUGAUUAGAUAGUUGGUGGGGUAACGGCCUACCAAGUCUACGAUCAGUAGCCGGACUGAGAGGUUGAACGGCCACAUUGGGACUGAGAUACGGCCCAGACUCCUACGGGAGGCAGCAGUGGGGAAUAUUGCACAAUGGGGAAACCCUGAUGCAGCAACGCCGCGUGAAGGAUGACGGUUUUCGGAGUGUAAACUUCUUUUCUUAGUGACGAAGACAGUGACGGUAGCUAAGGAAUAAGCAUCGGCUAACUACGUG